AGAGAGAUGGCUGAGUGGUUGAAAGCGGCGGUCUUGAAAACCGUUGUGGCGUUCCCGUCACCGGGGGUUCGAAUCCCUCUCUCUCUG
This 87-nucleotide transfer RNA is filed under the name Bacteroidota bacterium. RNAcentral's name for it is "Bacteroidetes bacterium (marine metagenome) tRNA-Ser". It matches the Rfam family "tRNA". Rfam says of the family: Transfer RNA (tRNA) molecules are approximately 80 nucleotides in length. Lineage: Bacteria; Pseudomonadati; Bacteroidota. The record is from RNAcentral.